AUUGAACGCUGGCGGCAGGCUUAACACAUGCAAGUCGAGCGGGGGGAGGUAGCUUGCUACCGGACCUAGCGGCGGACGGGUGAGUAAUGCUUAGGAAUCUGCCUAUUAGUGGGGGACAACAUCUCGAAAGGGAUGCUAAUACCGCAUACGUCCUACGGGAGAAAGCAGGGGAUCUUCGGACCUUGCGCUCAUAGAUGAGCCUAAGUCGGAUUAGCUAGUUGGUGGGGUAAAGGCCUACCAAGGCGACGAUCUGUAGCGGGUCUGAGAGGAUGAUCCGCCACACUGGGACUGAGACACGGCCCAGACUCCUACGGGAGGCAGCAGUGGGGAACAUUGGACAAUGGGGGGAACCCUGAUCCAGCCAUGCCGCGUGUGUGAAGAAGGCCUUAUGGUUGUAAAGCACUUUAAGCGAGGAGGAGGCUACUUUAGUUAAUACCUAGAGAUAGUGGACGUUACUCGCAGAAUAAGCACCGGCUAACUCUGUGCCAGCCGCCGCGGUAA
RNAcentral lists this ribosomal RNA (501 nucleotides) under uncultured bacterium. RNAcentral describes it as "partial 16S ribosomal RNA". It matches the Rfam family "Bacterial small subunit ribosomal RNA", at positions 30 to 523 of the family's 1533-position model. The record is from RNAcentral.